Molecule: ribosomal RNA, 1420 nt
Filed under: Meiothermus sp. M.tgx6
Lineage: Bacteria; Thermotogati; Deinococcota; Deinococci; Thermales; Thermaceae
Description: 16S ribosomal RNA
Rfam family: Bacterial small subunit ribosomal RNA
Source: RNAcentral
AUGCCUAAGACAUGCAAGUCGGACGGGCUGUUUUAUGCAGCCAGUGGCGGACGGGUGAGUAACACGUAGGUGACCUACCCCAAAGUCUGGGACAACUACGAGAAAUCUUAGCUAAUCCUGGAUGUGGACACUCACCUUGGUGGGUGUCUAAAGCCUUCGGGCGCUUUGGGAUGGGCCUGCGGCGCAUCAGGUAGUUGGUGGGGUAAUGGCCUACCAAGCCGACGACGCGUAGCUGGUCUGAGAGGACGAUCAGCCACAGGGGUACUGAGACACGGACCCCACUCCUACGGGAGGCAGCAGUUAGAAUCUUCCGCAAUGGGCGAAAGCCUGACGGAGCGAUACCGCUUGAAGGACGAAUCCCUUCGGGGUGUAAACUUCUGAACUCGGGACGAUUAUGACGGUACCGAGGUAAUAGCACCGGCUAACUCCGUGCCAUCAGCCGCGGUAAUACGGAGGGUGCGAGCGUUACCCGGAUUUACUGGGUGUAAAGGGCGUGUAGUCGGUCUCUCAAGUCCGAUGCUAAAGACCGGGGCUCAACCCCGGGGGUGCGUUGGAUACUGUGAGGCUAGACGGUCGGAGAGGGUAGCGGAAUUUCCGGAGUAGCGGUGAAAUGCGCAGAUACCGGAAGGAACGCCGAUCGCGAAAGCAGCUACCUGGACGAUUUGUGACGCUGAUGCGCGAAAGCGUGGGGAGCAAACCUGAUUAGAUACCCGGGUAGUCCACGCCCUAAACGAUGAGUGCUGGGUGUCCGACAUCUGUUGGGUGCCGUAGCUCAACGCGUUAAGCACUCCACCUGGGAAGUACGGUCGCAAGACUGAAACUCAAAGGAAUUGACUGGGGCUCGCACAAGCGGUGUAGCAUGUGGUUUUAUUCGAAGCAACGCGCAGAACCUUACCAGGUCUUGACAUCCUGGGAACCCUGGUGAAAGCCGGGGGUGCCCGCAAGGGAGCCCAGAGACAGGUGCUGCAUGGUUGUCGUCAGCUCGUGUCGUGAGAUGUUGGGUUAAGUCCCGCAACGAGCGCAACCCCUGUUGCUAGUUUCCAUCAGUUCGGCUGGGCACUCUAGCGAGACUGCCUACGAAAGUAGGAGGAAGGCGGGGAUGACGUCUGAUCCGCAUGGCCCUUACGACCUGGGCGACACACGUGCUACAAUGCCUGCCACAAAGCGCUGCGACCCGGUAACGGGAAGCCAAUCGCACAAAAGCAGGCUCAGUUCGGAUUGGGGUCUGCAACUCGACCCCAUGAAGCCGGAAUCGCUAGUAAUCGCGGAUCAGCCAUGCCGCGGUGAAUACGUUCCCGGGCCUUGUACACACCGCCCGUCAAGCCAUGGGAGUGGGUUUUGCCUGAAGUCGCCGGGAGCCACAGGCAGGCGCCUAGGGUAAGGCUCAUGACUGGGGCUAAGUCGUAAGAAGGUAGCUGUA